UACGUAGGCAGCGAGCGUUGUUCGGAAUUACUGGGCGUAAAGAGUGUGUAGGCGGUGCUCUAAGUUUGGUGUGAAAUCUCCCGGCUCAACUGGGAGGGUGCAUCGAAAACUGGAGUGCUCGAGGGUGGGAGAGGUAAGCGGAAUUCCUGGUGUAGCGGUGAAAUGCGUAGAUAUCAGGAGGAACACCGGUGGUGUAGACGGCUCUCUGGACCGUAACUGACGCUGAGACACGAAAGCGUGGGUAGCAAACAGG
Molecule: ribosomal RNA, 253 nt
Filed under: uncultured bacterium
Lineage: Bacteria
Description: partial 16S ribosomal RNA
Rfam family: Bacterial small subunit ribosomal RNA
Source: RNAcentral